Molecule: non-coding RNA, 21 nt
Filed under: Arabidopsis thaliana (thale cress)
Lineage: Eukaryota; Viridiplantae; Streptophyta; Magnoliopsida; Brassicales; Brassicaceae
Source: RNAcentral
UUGGUUCCAUGCGUGCUUGAU